This 877-nucleotide long non-coding RNA is filed under the name Capra hircus (goat). RNAcentral's name for it is "lncRNA (ENSCHIG00000002200.1)". Lineage: Eukaryota; Metazoa; Chordata; Mammalia; Artiodactyla; Bovidae. The record is from RNAcentral.
AAUAGAUUAAGAUUCAAUGCAAACAAAACUUGGCUAAACCAGACUCCUAGAUCUAAGAGGGACAUUGCAGGAAGGUCAGGAACUCAGGCCCCCACUCAGGCGUGGAUGGAAUGAUGAUGUUGGCCUUCCUGACUUCAGUCAACUGAAGCUUGUACUCUGAAGACCUUGGCCCCAGGAGGUCCUGGGAAGGAAUAUGGAACGAACACCACCACCCAGAAGAAUUUGGGAAAUGUCAAAAGGAGGAAGGAGAUGCCAGUCCAUACGUCCUACCAAGCUUUCAGCAUCUCAUCUUCUCACUGGAAUCCAUCUUAGCUGAGCGAUGCGCAUGGCCAGGAAAGACCCUGAAUCAGAAUGACUGGGCAGAGACAGGUCAUAAGUUGUCUCAUUACCAUAAAGCCUGAGACUGUGAGCCACGUGGUGGAGCAGUUGUCCUGAGUUCCCUUGCCCUCCCGCCCUCUGCUCAGGCGCCCCUUCCCAAUAAAAUCUCAUGCUUUGACAGCACGUGCGUCUCCUCGGACAAUUCACUGUUGAGUAUGAGAUGAGUGCCCACUCUCAGGCCCUGAAGGAGGCCCUCUUCCUGCAACAAAUGGCUACUCUGGUGGGAUCUCUUCUUUGCCACGACUGACAUCCUGAUCACUUGGGGUACUUGGGAACAAGCUUGCCUGCCCAUGGACCAGACCCAGUGGUCACUACCUGGGACCCUUUGUCCCUGGUCUCCUCCUGAUGCAGCUGGUUGGUCAGAGUGCCCUGACCCUGACCGGGGUGGAGUUCCUGACCUUUCUUCCUGAAAAGCCAAGGGAAAGUCCUGUAAUAUCUGAGCGCUGCAGGUGGCAGGAGCCGUCUGUAAGGUCAUCUCUUUUGUCCCUUCUCCUUACCC